UGCUUGGUGAGACAGUGUCACCGUUCUGGGAAGAGCUAGUCUGGGAGAAGGAGUCAGGAUACUAGACCUGUCUGUGAGGCACUGGAUGACUCCAGAUGCAGCAUCCAGAUCUCAGGAGAGGACAUUGUACUCAUCUUGCCAGCCCACCCAACUGGAAGCCAUGCUUAGUGUAGCCUACUCUAGGCACAGGAAGAGGCAGGGCUCACAGCUGCCACUGAUGUAUAUGCAGAGUACGUACAAGGCGAGUGGAGCAGCCAAGAGAACCAGACUGUAGCAGGUUAAUUGGCUGGGGCUGACAGAUUCCAAGUCAAACUGGCCCAAGCUCAUGUCUGGGAUUCUAAAGCAGAAGGAAGAGUCAAGAGAGAGGGAAUGGACCUGGAUGACUGCAAGAGGACCAGGUGCAGAAGCCAAAACAUACCAUACUGAGGCAGACAGGAGCAGGUGGUUAGGGGACUAAGGCAAUUACUGAGGAGAGAGGCUGAUGAAGACGGAAGUAAAAGAAAAACAGGUUGGAGUGCUGCAGCUGAGGAGCCCUGCUGGCUGCAGUACCACUGUCUACAUUAUUUUAAAAACUAUUUCUUCUUUUUUAUAAAAAAAUCAAACUAAUGCAUGAGUAUUAUUUUUAGUUUUGUUUUUAAAAUUAAAUCGUAUUGCCACAUCCAUAACUUAAAAAUUGCAAUCCUCUGACCCAAUUUUUUGAAUUCCUGCUUUCUAGAACCAAAUGCUUUCAACUCUUUUCUGUUUCUUCUGUUUUUCUCUCUUUAUUUGUAAACAGCAGAUUAUGCUACUAUUUCUUUUUUUUGUUUUGUUUUUUAGGUUUAGUUUUUUGGCUCCUGUAUGAAAGAUGAGGAUUGUGUUCCCUCACACCAUCCUUUCCCACUCUCUGGCCGCCUAAUAUAUUCACACUAUUCCUCCUCCCCAUCCUCUCAAUAUACUAUUGUUACCUUAUGGGUAAAAUCAAUGCUUAUUAAUUUUGAGCAUUGAUUUUAUGAUGUUUAUGAUGUUAUGAUCAUGGAAAUGCAAUUCACUGCUGAUCUAGGGAAUACAAUAAAACUACUUUAUGUUUUACCUGGAUUUAAUAGUUGCCUCAUUGUUUGUUUGUUUCUUAGUUUUCCAGGUACCUAUCACAGCAAUUCACUGCUGAUCUAGAAGAUACAAUAAAACUACUUUAUGUUUUACCUGGAUUUAAUAGUUGCCUCAUUGUUUGUUUGUUUCUUAGUUUUCCAGGUACCUAUCACGAAUUCAUUCUCAGAAUUUCUGAAAGAACAAUAAAAAUCAUUGCAAUAUGUGCAAACAUUAGGUAGUCUGUUUGUUUCUUUUUUCUUUUUCUACUCGGGGAUUUCCUCCUAGUGCAUUUUGUCCUUCUGUUACUUGUAAGUCUCUAAGCUUGCUACACAACUAUCAUUGGGAACUUUUCUGCACCAUUAAUCUGGAAAUUCCCUUUGCCUCUUUUCUGUGUUAAAACUCCUGUUUUCUAGAUUCUGUGUUUCCCCCCCUGCUUGGUUUAUUCACUUCUUUUGGCAGAAUACAUCUGCAAGUAGCUUAUUGUGAAAAGAUAAGUGGGAGGUUAAUUUUUUGAAAUCUUGCAUAUCUGAAAAUGUUUUUAUGUAUUUUAAUAGCUUUUUUGAAAUAUAUUUUGCAUACCAUAAAAUUCGCCCAUUUAAAGUGUAUAAUUCAGUGGUUUUUAGUAUAUUCACACAGUUAUGCAACCAUCACAAUUUAAUUUUAGAACAUUUUUGACAUCCCCAAAAUAAAUUCUGUACACAUUAGCAGUCCUCCACCAUUUCUGCUCACUUAUUUUCCCUCAACCUACUGCUCCAACCUCAGGUAGUCACUAAUCAACCUUCUGACUCUGUUGGUUUGCUGAUUCUGAACUUUUCACAUAAGUGGAAUCAUACAAUACAUGGUCUUUUGUGAUUGACUUAUUUCAGUUAGCAUAUUUUUUUCAAGGUUUAUCUAAGUCGGAGCAUGUGCCAGUAUUCAUUCUUUUUUAUUGCUGCAUAAUAUUCUAGUGUAUGGACAUACCACAUUUUGUUUGUCCAGUCAUUAAUUAAUGGAUAUUUUGUUUGUUUCCACCUUUUGGCUAUUUUGAAUAAUUCUGCUAUGAACUUUCAUGUACAAGUUUUUGUGUAGACAUAUAUUUUCACUUCUCUUGGGUAUACAUCCAGGAGUAGAAUUGCUAGUUUAUAUUCUAACUCUAUGUUUUGCAUUUUGAAGAACUGCCAAACUAUUUUCCAAAGUGGUUGCACCAUUUUACAUUCCCA
Molecule: long non-coding RNA, 2264 nt
Filed under: Homo sapiens (human)
Lineage: Eukaryota; Metazoa; Chordata; Mammalia; Primates; Hominidae
Description: HSALNT0020463
Source: RNAcentral